GAUGAACGCUGACAGAAUGCUUAACACAUGCAAGUCGAUGGGGAAGUGGUGCUUGCCCCAUGGUAACCAUGGCGGACGGGUGAGUAACGCGUAAGGAACUUACCUGCGGGACCGGGAUAACAGCAGGAAACUGCUGACAAGACCGGAUAAGGUCAUUAAGCUGCAUAGCUUAGUGAUGAAAGGAGACGCCUGCGGAGAGCCUUGCGUCCUAUUAGCUAGUUGGAGGGGUAACGGCCCACCAAGGCGAAGAUAGGUAGCCGGCCUGAGAGGGUGGACGGCCACAAGGGGACUGAGAGACGGCACUUACUACUACGGGAGGAAGCAGUGAGGAAUAUUGGACAAUGGGGGCAACCCUGAUCCAGCAAUUCUGUGUGCACGAAGACGGUUUUCGGAUUGUAAAGUGCUUUCAGCAGGGAAGAAGGAAGUGACGGUACCUGCAGAAGAAGCGACGGCUAAAUACGUG
RNAcentral lists this ribosomal RNA (463 nucleotides) under uncultured bacterium. Its description in RNAcentral is "partial 16S ribosomal RNA". It matches the Rfam family "Bacterial small subunit ribosomal RNA", at positions 28 to 507 of the family's 1533-position model. The record is from RNAcentral.